GGCAGCAGUGGGGAAUUUUGCGCAAUGGGGGAAACCCUGACGCAGCAACGCCGCGUGGAGGAAGAAGGCUUUCGAGUCGUAAACUCCUGUCCCCGGGGACGAAGCAAGUGACGGCACCCGGGGAGGAAGCCCCGGCUAACUCCGUGCCAGCAGCCGCGGUAAUACGGGGGGGGCGAGCGUUGUUCGGAAUUACUGGGCGUAAAGGGCGCGCAGGCGGCGGCAGAAGUUCCGGGUGAAAGCCCCCGGCUUAACCGGGGAAGGUCCUGGAAAACCAUGCUGCUGGAGUGCUGGAGAGGCUAGCGGAAUUUCGGGUGUAGCGGUGAAAUGCGUAGAUAUCCGAAGGAACACCGGAGGCGAAGGCGGCUAGCUGGACAGACACUGACGCUGAGGCGCGAAAGCCAGGGGAGCAAACGGGAUUAGAUACCCCGGUAGUCCUGGCCGUAAACGAUGGGUACUUGGUGUGCGGGGUAAUGAAGUCCCUGCGUGCCGGCGAUAACUCGUUAAGUACCCCGCCUGGGGAGUACGAUCGCAAGACUGAAACUCAAAUGAAUUGACGG
This 557-nucleotide ribosomal RNA is filed under the name uncultured bacterium. Its description in RNAcentral is "bacterial SSU rRNA". It matches the Rfam family "Bacterial small subunit ribosomal RNA", at positions 347 to 916 of the family's 1533-position model. The record is from RNAcentral.